UCUCCGUUGGUGAACCAGCGGAGGGAUCAUUACAGAGUUUUCACAACUCCCAACCCUUGCGAACCGUACCCAUUCUGUUCUCGUUGCUUCCGGCGGGGGGGACGGGGGGGCCCGAAACGGCCUCCCCGCCCCGCCCGCCGGGGGCGGCGGGCCCUACGAACCUUUUUAUCUUAACCCCGAGAAACCGCUUGCGAAAAAAAAACAAAUAACCAAAACUUUCAACAAAGGAUCUAUUGGGCGUGGCAUCGAUGCACAACGAAGCAGAUCGGCAGUGAACAC
This 279-nucleotide unclassified non-coding RNA is filed under the name plant metagenome. RNAcentral describes it as "partial contains small subunit ribosomal RNA, internal transcribed spacer 1, and 5.8S ribosomal RNA". The record is from RNAcentral.